Molecule: long non-coding RNA, 1078 nt
Filed under: Aquilegia coerulea
Lineage: Eukaryota; Viridiplantae; Streptophyta; Magnoliopsida; Ranunculales; Ranunculaceae
Description: long non-coding RNA (ACOE_LNC001540)
Source: RNAcentral
CCAAACAUGCCAACAAGUAGGCUUGUGAAAUUGUGAAUUGCUGUUUGUUUCACUCUACCUAUACAGAGUCACUCAGCUAGAUCUGUAAUGUUUUUGACUAACAGAGCAGUUUUUUCCGUUUUAUGGUUCCAAGCAUUCACUGCAUCUUUGGGGGUUCAGAUUGCUGUGUAUAUAUUUUUUCCUUUUUGCUUUAUAUAUUUAAGAAUGGGCUUGCGGAAGAACUUAUUUGAACAUUGAACUAUAGACCAGAAAUACUAGUUAGGAUGUAAGUCUUGAUACUAAAAAAUUUCCAAUAACAAGGCUUUACAAACAACUUUAUGAUCGAUCUUCACCAAAGAGUACAAGAUGACAUCUCACACAACUCAAACAAUAUUACAGUUGAGUCCAGGUGUGACUGGUGUUAUGUGGGCUUCCCUGCACACAAGCAAAGCUUCUCGUCCAAUGUAUCUAUGUUGUAUCCUUGUUGAACUUUUACCUGAUACAUCAUCAUAUUGGCAACAUGUAAGAAACAUGAUACAUUUGUUUGUAUAUUAUUAUCGAAAACAUAAAUGGACAGUAUAUAAAUAAUUAAGACUGACAAUCAUAUGUAAGAGGCAAGAGGUACGUAAUCACCUGAAGUGUGUGAGCUACUUUGGUCGUCUCAGUUCUAUACUGAUUCUCAAACAAUAUAUAUAUCAAGCUUCUCUUCUUCCAGAAUUUGAACAAAUCAGAUGUUAAUGCGACGUUUUUAAUCUCUCUUUAUCUUCACUUUCAUUUCUAUACUUAUUCUUAAAUACUAUCGAUCUCAAGCUUUUCUUUUUCAAGAAUUCGACACACCCGAGAUUAGAGCAACGUCCUGGAGAACUAGUUCUUCAAUCAGUACUGAAUCAUCAUCAAACUUCUUUAUCCAAGAAGUUAAUUUGAUGAUGAUUCAGUACUGAUCGAAUUACUAGUUCUCAAUAUGUCGGGUUUGAUUCAAAUUCUUGAAGAAGAAAAGCUUAAGAUAGUGUUUUAGAAUCAGUAUAGAACUAAGACCAAAGUGUAGCUCACGUACUCACUUCAGGUGACCACCUAAUUAUCUUAUUUAUUGACAUGGAUG